ACAUACUAUCAUUUCAUAAUUUAUUCUAGUAUUUACAGCAAGAAGUGUAAACUAAAAUAGAUUGUGAAAAAUUGAUAGUGUGA
This is a non-coding RNA of Brugia malayi, 83 nucleotides long. Lineage: Eukaryota; Metazoa; Nematoda; Chromadorea; Rhabditida; Onchocercidae. The record is from RefSeq and is a predicted model, not a curated record.